RNAcentral lists this ribosomal RNA (503 nucleotides) under uncultured bacterium. RNAcentral's name for it is "bacterial SSU rRNA". It matches the Rfam family "Bacterial small subunit ribosomal RNA", at positions 36 to 518 of the family's 1533-position model. The record is from RNAcentral.
CUGGCGGCGUGCCUAACACAUGCAAGUCGAACGGGGAUUUGUUUCGGCAGGAUCCUAGUGGCGAACGGGUGAGUAACGCGUAGGCAACCUGCCCUCCGGCCGGGGACAACACUCCGAAAGGGGUGCUAAUACCGGAUACGAAGUCUGUGCCGCAUGGUACGGAUUUGAAAGAUGGCCUCUGUUUAUAAGCUAUCGCCGGGGGAUGGGCCUGCGUCCGAUUAGCUGGUUGGUGGGUAACGGCCUACCAAGGCGACGAUCGGUAGCCGGUCUGAGAGGAUGAACGGCCACAUUGGGACUGAGACACGGCCCAGACUCCUACGGGAGGCAGCAGUGGGGAAUCUUCCGCAAUGGGCGCAAGCCUGACGGAGCAACGCCGCGUGAGUGAGGAAGUUCUUCGGAACGUAAAGCUCUGUUGUUCCUGACGAACCUCCCUUCUAUCAACAACGGAGGGGACUGACGGUAGGGAACGAGGAAGCCACGGCUAACUACGUGCCAGCCGCCGC